AACGUAGGGGACAAGCGUUAUCCGGAUUUACUGGGCGUAAAGCGCCCGUAGGCGGCCUGACAAGUUGGACGUGAAAGCUCCUGGCUUAACUGGGAGAGGCCGUUCAAAACUGUCAAGCUAGAGUCUGGAAGAGGAGAGCGGAAUUCCCGGUGUAGUGGUGGAAUGCGUAGAGAUCGGGAGGAACACCAGUGGCGAAGGCGGCCUUCUGGACAGUGACUGACGCUGAGACGCGAAAGCGUGGGGAGCAAACAGG
This 253-nucleotide ribosomal RNA is filed under the name uncultured bacterium. Its description in RNAcentral is "partial 16S ribosomal RNA". It matches the Rfam family "Bacterial small subunit ribosomal RNA", at positions 524 to 776 of the family's 1533-position model. The record is from RNAcentral.